CAGAGUAGGUCAUGUCUAACAAGUUAGCUCAAACAGAGUAGGUCAUGUCUAACAAGUCAGCCCAGAGUAGGUCAUGUCUAACAAGUCAGCCCAGAGUAGGUCAUGUCUAACAAGUCAGCCCAGAGUAGGUCAUGUCUAACAAGUCACCUCAAACAGAGUAGGUCAUGUCUAACAAGUCACCUCAAACAGAGUAGGUCAUGUCUAACAAGUCACCUCAAACAGAGUAGGUCAUGUCUAACAAGUCAGCCCAGAGUAGGUCAUGUCUAACAAGUCAGCCCAGAGUAGGUCAUGUCUAACAAGUCAGCUCAAACAGAGUAGGUCAUGUCUAACAA
Molecule: long non-coding RNA, 332 nt
Organism: Physella acuta
Lineage: Eukaryota; Metazoa; Mollusca; Gastropoda; Physidae
Source: RefSeq, a predicted model, not a curated record